RNAcentral lists this long non-coding RNA (4631 nucleotides) under Taeniopygia guttata (zebra finch). RNAcentral describes it as "lncRNA (ENSTGUG00000019888.1)". The record is from RNAcentral. Lineage: Eukaryota; Metazoa; Chordata; Aves; Passeriformes; Estrildidae.
UUUUUUUUUUUUUUUUUUUACUAAUUGUCUCUUUACCGAAUCUUGGACUAUAUUUCUAAGAUCAAAUGUAAAACAAAUCCAUCUCUCUCCUUUUGGACAUUCCAUGCCCCAAGUAUUACUACUUUUCCCUAAAUUCCUUGUAAUCCAAUAUUUUCCCCAUUUUGCCUGCAGGUACUCAGUUUGGGUGGGUCUGUGGCUGUUGACAUGGGUGUGUGUAACAAAAAGGAACUUUGGUUCCUUUCCGUGUAAUACUUUCUGUAGCAUUUGGGACACGAUCUUGCUGGUAUCUCAGAAGGGAAAAGACAACAAAUGAGAGACAGAAACAGGAAUGACAGAGGUCUGGCAUGGCUUAUACCCCCACCUCCCCUGCCUGUGGGGUUGCUUCCCACAGCAGGUACGUGUGAUCUUCUCGGUGGUGAGUACAGUGCUCAGUCCAGGCUUGCCCUCUGUUUCCCUUGUCACUCCUUUUUACUCAUUUUUUUAGGCAAGUCCUUUUCGACACUCCUUAACUGUGGUUUCCCACCGUUCCUCAGGUAUCUCUCACUCAACAGGCACUAAUAAUCCAUCCACAAAACAAAGUUAUUACUUCAGUUGUUUUGGGUUCUAUCUGUAUAGGGAAUUGAUUCAGUACUCGAUACCUCUUGCAACAAGAACAUAGAUUUUGUGAGCUACAACACCAAUUAUUCCCAUAAUUUGAACAUUCACUUGUAACCCAGCUAGCGUGUCCAGUAUUGGGAUGAAUCACAUAAAGUAUACAGUACAGUACUGAUGGCAAUUUCCCUUCUUCCCUGUACAAGCCACAGGCUGAGGCCAGGCUAUAAGAACUCUUUGACUGAAACACUCCCGAUCCUCCUGUUUGAAGUGGCAGUGUUCCUCUGCCAAGGAGGUGUCGGAGGCGUCUCAGGGUUUAUUCAGGCAGGGCUUAGAACCAGUGAUGCAAGCUUUGCCUUAUUUCUCAGUGAGGUGUUAUUCUUUGUACCUGCCUUGGAUCAUUUGGGUCUUCCCAAACCAUUACCACCCAGUCCUGGUUGGAAGUCAAUUUGGUAUCACCCGGUUUAGAUGUGAUAGUCCAUUCCUCAAGUUUCUUCACAAGUCCUUUGGUUUUGCUGGCAUGAAUUCACCCUCUUUCCAUGGUUUGGAUUGCUGCUUCAGUGGUACCUGGAAAGGAUUUCUUAAUAGCACAGUGUUAAAAGAAAAACAAUACUGCAUUAACUUUUACCAUUAGUUUUCUUUAAAACUUUCUGAGUUUAACUAAACUCUUUUUCUACAGCCACUUCUUCUUCUUGUAUCCAGCUGUGUUAAUAGCUGCAGAGACCAAUUCUUCUUCCUGUGAGCUAUAAUUAGUUAAAUAAAAAAGACCAGGCCAAUUUUAACAUGAGAUGUAUCACAUCUCUUGCCUUUUACUUUUUGGGUAACAUUUAACUGUUUUAGUCUUACAGACUUUUAGUCUUCAGAACAAAAGCCUUCUCUUCUUAACAACAGCAAUCAGAAAGAAAAAAGAAAUCUUGCUUAAGACAAUAAACCACUUUGUGAGAGUCACAAUCUCUGCCUUGAUCUUAUCUCUACUGGUGGUCCUGUUCACAGCCUUGGGUUUAACUCUGUCCUUCCCCACUUCCCCCCCUCCUUGUUGUCACUCUGCCUAGCAGGAAUGGGGGAGAACUUACAGAUAGCUGUGGCUGAGGGGACCUUGGGGGUGUAUUUCGCUCUCCCCUUCGCUCUCUUUCUCUCUCUCUCUCCCUUUCUCUCUCUUUCUUUUUCUCUCUUCACAUUUCAGCAGCCACAUUCCAAUAUCAGUCCACUUUCUAACAUUAAUCCUACAUCCUGGAGAGGUGAGUCUGCCAAUCACCUCUCCCCCCUUUUUCAACUUCCUUACAAAGUAAAUUACUUUUGUUAUGCGUGUUCUGCAGGCCUGUAAUUCACGGCACCCUCCACCAAGGCUACCAGCCACUCACAGCUGACAGUGCAAAAAUAAAGACUUAUUUUGCUAUCACAAUUUUUCCAUUCACAAGCUUGAAAAGGUUGCAGGAACAAAGUAAACAACAACUUACUUCCAAAGUGACCCUGCCUGCACCAAAACAAAUUUAAGGCAAUGCUAGUUAGUGCAAUGCAAUUUGCAACGAAGCCAAGGUUUGAUUUGGGAAGGGCAUCUGAGGACACAGAGCAUGAGUUUUACAAAUCUGUAUUUUGAAGAGGGAAUGGACAAAAUAUGAAUAGAGUUGAGGGCAGGGGGAGGACAGCAAGUGAGGAAUUUUUCUCUGCAAUACUCUCUUUUCGACUGCCAGGAAACACUCUAACACUCUCUCCAAGGAGAUAAAGAAAAGCUCAUAAAAAACAAUCUACAUUACAUAUACUACCAUUCAUCUACAUUUACUCACUUUUAUUUUUCACUAACUCUCACAUACAACAAGAAGAUACUUUUUACUUUCAAACAGUCUACAUUACAUAUCUACACCCUGAGUGCUGUUGGAAUGUUAAUCCCUCAACCCAGCAGGUUUGAAUCCUGGAUGCUCUUGGGCACUCUUAUCCCUCAAUCCGGCACUCCACGGGGUUCCUCUUCUUCCUAAGAUCCAGUCCCAGUUUCUCUGGGAGGGAUUCUCUCUUUUUUAUCACUCGCUUGGUCUCUUUACUGGCCGUUUUUCACAUGAAAAAGACGAAAAGCAGCAUGAGAGACUACAGCAAUCACUUGGCAAGUCUGGGAUACCCAGCAGCUUCUGUCACACACAUUCAUUCCCCCCUUAUCCGCCCCAUCCCAACAAAUACUCACCUAUCCUUUGUCCUUGGGUCUUGGUUCUUCGUGUACACUUUAGUCUUGGGGCUAAUUACUGUGGUUUUAGGGAAUGCUUUCCCUUUUCUUUGUUUUAUUGUCUCCUUUUGCCCAUAGAUCAUAACCUGUGUCUGGUCACACACCAGGGGAACAGAGCGAGGCUGCCUAAAUAGGGCAGGACCCGUCUUCCUCACCCUGACUCUCCAAGGCCCCGGCAGAGAGGUGUUAAAAACCAUCCUUUGCUACCAUAAUUGUGAAAAACGCCAAUCACUUGGCUGUUAAAUUUUUAAUAAUAAUAACAUGGUUAUUAAAAUAGUAAUACAAUUAGAGUAAUAAAAAUUUAGAGUUAGGACAAUUACAAGACAAUAAAAAGCAAAGAAUUAAGGAUGUCCAGAUGCUCUGGGGCACUUAAGCCACAACAAGCAUACCUUGUGAACAAAGGAAUCACCCCUAAAACUACACUAUUGCAUAUUCAUAUAUCCUUCAUGGUUAUGCAUACAUUCUAUUUAAAACAAGAAACUCUGUCUGUUAUAUGCCAACUAUUUCCUUUAAUCCCCAUGGCGUCUUCGAGUCUGAGCAAGGCCUGAAGAAAUUAGAUUCUUCUGACAAGAAAACCAUAAAUUCCUCUUCCUUGGAAGAUUUGGGUGUUCUGUGAUGGUUAUGUCAAAGCGAGUAUGUCAUUCCUUAAAAGAAAACCCAGAUACAUAGUUUCUAUUUUAACUACUAAAGCUUCAAUUUAACUACACAACUACAUUUACAGUACUAUUAAAAUGUUAAUACAGCACUACUAUUCAAACUAACAUAUGUGCAUUUUUCACCUUGGGCGUCUGGUGGAGUAUCCCCGGAAAGUGCCCAUCUCUGCAGGGAGCCACGUGUUUUCAAUUGUAAAUUAGGUCUUUCUUUCUCUGUCAUCUGUGGUUUCCAGUCUUUCCCGGCUGGGUCUUCAGGUCUUUUAAAACUUUAAGAAUCUUUUUCUACUAGCACAACUGACUUCAUGUAUAUUUUACAUAAUCACGAAUUAUUCCAUAAUUUAUAUUACAAUGGGGCUGCACAGAUCCCCCUGCAGCUCCAUGGGGAUGCAGAGAUACCCCUGCAGCUCCAUGGGGAUGCAGAGAUCCCCCUGCAGGUCCGUGGGGAUGCAGAGAUCCCCCUGCAGGUCCGUGGGGAUGCAGAGAUCCCCCUGCAGCCCCUGGAGGAGCCAGGCUGGAGCUCGGGGAUGCCUGAGAGGAGGCUGUGACCCCGUGGGCAGAGGGGCCCCGCUGGAGCAGCCUGGCCUGGCAGGACCGAGCCCGUGGCACAGUGACCCACGCUGCAGCACUUGGAGGGGGCUGUGCCCCAGGGGAUGGACUCGGCUCGGAGAAGUUCCUGGAGAAGUCUCGGCUGGGAGAGAGCGCAGGGUGCAGCAGGGAACGACUCCUGUCCCUGAGCAGAGGGAGAAGCCGCGGGGGAUGAGCUGAGCACGGCCCCAUUCCCUGUCUCCUGCCCUGCCGGGGGAGGAGGUGCAGCUGGGAGCAGGGAGGCGUGGGGAAAGCUGCAUUUAAGGCUCUGCACUGACUUCUCCUCAUCCUGCUCUGAGUCUUUGCAGUUUUCUGCCAGAAAUCUCUCCCCUCCCCCGCUCACCCACAGGGCUUUGGGCAGGUUUCCCUUUUUGGGGGAAAUCAAAGCGAAGCACCGAUGCACUAAUGAGGGGCAGGAGAAGGGAGGCUCCCGGGCUUCCCGCAGAGCCGGAGGCACGGAAGGCGCAGGGCCGGGAAAGCCGUGGCGGGAGGUGCGGAGAAGUUUGUUUGUGUGGGCAGCUCAAUCCCGCCUCGGGCCCGGGCCCGUCCCGGGGCUGUUGCUCAUCUCCGGCUUUGCCCUCACGCAGCGC